Molecule: long non-coding RNA, 2976 nt
Organism: Camarhynchus parvulus
Lineage: Eukaryota; Metazoa; Chordata; Aves; Passeriformes; Thraupidae
Exons: 3
Source: RefSeq, a predicted model, not a curated record
AGUACAUAUAUAAAUCUAGUAGUACAUAGUACAUAAAUGUAGUAAAUCUAAUGGUGUUAUGCACACAGGAACAUAUGGAGUACACCCCAUGUGCACAGCACAGAGGUUGGAAUCCAGCUGUAACUCAAGAUUGCUGCAAGACAUAGAGCAAGAAAUGUUGAUCCUUGAGGCACAUGAAUUUGCCCAGCAAGAACUUCAUCAGUCUUAAUGGUUUCUGAAUACUGGAUCUAGGCUCUGCAAAUGAGAGAUUUACAUGACUGAAUAUAUGGCUCAUGGAACAGCUUUCAGGAUUGAUGUGAUGGCAGACCUUUGUAUCAGAAAGGGGUUUUUCUCUGUUUCUUUUUUUGCUGUUAUACAUUGAUUAAAAUCCCAUGUAGAUGCUGUAAUAAGAAAUCAAUUUCCUUGCUUUGUGCUUACAUUUUCUUAUAAAAGAAAUUCCUGUUUAUUCAACAAAUUACAUUUAAUUAAAUGAGCAGAUUAAAUUUGUAUUUUAUUUCCUUUCAUUACAUAUUCCUUUGUUCUUAAUAAUAUUUUUAGCCAGCAUAUUUUUUGUUUGCAUACACUUUAUGGAGCUCAGUGAUUGACCUUCACACCCAAGAUGAAAUGGAAUAAGUGUCUUUGUUAUGGUGAUGGCAAAGUAUAAAAAACAUACAGGAAAAUGUUACCAUCCCUUGCCUAUUAAAUUUGCAGAUGUGACAGGAUAUUCAGAACAAUAACUGCAUGUGAUUUAUCAGUACUGACUGCUGACUGCCACAGUUUCAUUUGCUACACUAACACCCAAAAUGCUACUGUAAAACAUAAACCUUUUGUUUUGCAUUCCUCCCUUUGACAAAAACUGAUUUAAUUGACUUGUCUGUCCCAUGUGUUGUCUUCAUUCCAAAUUCCUAGCUGGAAAAAUAUAGUACAAUCGUGAAAAACCUUCUGACCCUUCUAAAUAUGACAGGUAUAGAAUCUCUAGCCAUUUAACAUAUACUUCUGCUUUCAGCAUACUUUCCCAAAUAAAGACUGUAUUUCUGAAUAUCAAAUAUAUUACUUGUGUAGAGUAAAAGUAACAAAUCUUCUCACUUUGCAGAAAAAACCCACAUAUUAUCCUUUAUCAUUAUUUAAUAUAUAAUUUUAUCUUUCUUUUUUCAAAUAGGAACAAGAUUUGCAUGCCAGAAAUAUACCCUUCUAUAUUAUACUAUAUCAGAAAUAUCUCUGAUAAUGCCAUGCAAUUUUUCUUCAUCCUUUGCACACCUGAAAAACUUAUUUAUUGCCUUGAAUACUUGCCUUGAAUACUCUUCCACUAAGGAUAGGAUUCUUUCAAAUGUUUUCAUUAAUGAAGCUGUUAAUUAAAGCUGCUAGUUUACAGACUGCCAAAGCUUUAAAGAGUUUGCUUAAAGAUCCAACAUGUAUGUUAGAUAAAUUAGCAUCUAAGAAAAUGCAUCGUGUUGUUUAUUGUUGUCAUUGUCAUUUAUUCCCUCUUUUUUUUACAUAACUUCCAGUAGAAGUUUGUUGAUAACAAGAGAUUCAAAAGUUAGAGCUUCAGUGAACUCAUAUUAAAUAAUAUCUUGAGAUAAACUUGUGGAUAAGUUCAGGGGCUUGCAUACUUAAAGGGGGCUGAAGUGGACUUAGGAUAUCUGGGAACGUGAAUGAAGACAAUUCCACUCAGAAGAGCCUUCUGUGACACCUAAUCCUGAAGAGGCAAGAAACUGUUCCAGUGGGAGAUGAGCUGUUCUUACUGGAAAAAUUCAAGCACAGCAAAUAGGUACUGGAGCAUAAUUUAAAGGAGACUUUUCUGCUCCAGGCUGUCCCUGUGCUUAAUGGUAAACAGGUGUUAAAAGCCUCCUUAAGAUCUGAAUCAUCCUCUCAAGAAAGCUAUUUCUUUCAGUUGACUAUGUCCCUUUAUCCCUCAGGGAAAGUAAGUGUCUAAAAUAAUGUACAGGCUCAUUUAGGGGCUGAAAGCUAGAUGGGAAAGAGUCAGGUUCAGGAAUCUAUUUUUGGCUAUGCCAGAACUCACUAAAAAUGAGUAAGCUUCCAUGCUGCUAACCUCAGUUCUGGAAAUUAAAAGAAGCAGCUUACAUGAAAGUUCUGCACUAUUGUGUUAUGUUCUUUAAAGGUUAGUAAUGAAAAAAUAGAGUUUGAGGCUGUGUCUGUGGGAAGUCUUUAAUCUUAAACCAGAUGAAUUAACAACUCCGAGGGACAAAAGAUUCUGACACAGACAAAAAUUAUGUUUGACUGAGUCAAUCUACUAAAAGAAAUUUUUUUCUUGACCCAUAUAAAUAUAUUCCAUGAUAUAUUACAAUUCAGAACAAGCCUGUUUAAGAGUAAAUUAGCCUUACGCUGAUUGCUCCUUCACAUCUCCCAAAGAAAGUACAAUGCACGUGAGAAAUUCACAUUUUGUUGCUGAGAAGUUAUAUGUCUUAAAAGCAGCUCUUGACUUCCAAUUUCUUCAUUGUUCUGCUGAGAUUUUUCCCAGUGUUGUUUUUGACCUACUAACUUCUCUGCAGUCAAUUUCUUUUUGGAGUAUGGAGAAUCAGAAACAGUCUCAUGUCAAAUAUUUAACUCUAGCAUGUGUGACAUGCCAUAUGUUCAUCUAUUAUCUACAGCCUAAUAUAUACCACAGAAUAAUCUUGUAACAGAUCUUUUCUUCUCAUGUUCUUCAACAUACAUGGUCCAACCAGAAAGUAAUUGACAUUAUGAUGCUUAUACCAAUUCAGAGAGUGAGGAAUACCUCCUCUUGACAGCCUUAACAUUAUGAUUCAUUACACCUAACUUGUCCUGAUCUCAUUCCUUUACAUCUUAACCAGAUAAUGGCACUUAACACUAAUCUUGAGGAGGGUGGAAACACCUAAUGUAAGGUUAGCCCUGUGCUUUUAUCAGUUAUAAAGCUGAUUAUUGAAAAGCAAUUGAAAAAAACUGCUAUAAAAAGGCACUGACUUUAAUAAUGGCCCAAAGCAUAUUGAGUCAAAAUGCUUUAAAUUAAUAUCAAGGAAC